Molecule: ribosomal RNA, 486 nt
Filed under: uncultured bacterium
Lineage: Bacteria
Description: partial 16S ribosomal RNA
Rfam family: Bacterial small subunit ribosomal RNA
Source: RNAcentral
GAUGAACGCUGGCGGCGUGCUUAACACAUGCAAGUCGAACGGGAUCCAAGGAGCGUUUUUCGUUUUUUGGUGAGAGUGGCGAACGGGUGAGUAACACGUGAGUAACCUGUCCUUUUCUUUGGGAUAAGCUCCUGAAAGGGUGUUUAAUACCUUAUGUUCUGUCUGCCUCGCAUGGGGUGGGUGGGAAAGAUUUUUUCGGUGAAGGGUGGGCUCGCGGUCUAUCAGCUUGUUGGUGGGGUGAUGGCUUACCAAGGCUUUGACGGGUAGCCGGCCUGAGAGGGUGGUCGGUCACAUUGGGACUGAGAUACGGCCCAGAAUCCUGCGGGAGGCAGCAGUGGGGGAUAUUGCACAAUGGGCGCAAGCCUGAUGCAGCGACGCCGCGUGGGGGAUGAAGGCCUUCGGGUUGUAAACUUCUUUUGCUCUGAACAAGGCGCAUCUGUGGGGUGUGUUGAGUGUAGGGGUUGAUUAGCGCCGGCUAACUACGUG